GACGAACGCUGGCGGCGUGCUUAACACAUGCAAGUCGAACGGAAAGGCCCUGCUUUUGUGGGGUGCUCGAGUGGCGAACGGGUGAGUAACACGUGAGUAACCUGCCCUUGACUUUGGGAUAACUUCAGGAAACUGGGGCUAAUACCGGAUAGGAGCUCCGGCUGCAUGGUGGGGGUUGGAAAGUUUCGGCGGUUGGGGAUGGACUCGCGGCUUAUCAGCUUGUUGGUGGGGUAGUGGCUUACCAAGGCUUUGACGGGUAGCCGGCCUGAGAGGGUGACCGGCCACAUUGGGACUGAGAUACGGCCCAGACUCCUACGGGAGGCAGCAGUGGGGAAUAUUGCACAAUGGGCGGAAGCCUGAUGCAGCAACGCCGCGUGCGGGAUGACGGCCUUCGGGUUGUAAACCGCUUUCGCCUGUGACGAAGCGUGAGUGACGGUAAUGGGUAAAGAAGCACCGGCUAACUACGUG
RNAcentral lists this ribosomal RNA (468 nucleotides) under uncultured bacterium. RNAcentral's name for it is "partial 16S ribosomal RNA". It matches the Rfam family "Bacterial small subunit ribosomal RNA", at positions 28 to 507 of the family's 1533-position model. The record is from RNAcentral.